UUGGCAAGUAACGACAUUCUCACAGAAAAACACUGAAGGAAGCAAACAACGACUACAACAUGACCGACUGUUCUCCUUCAACAUUCACCUCCUCUCUCUCUCCUGGAGGUCCUCAGUCACAGUGCAAGAUCCGGAGGGAGGGUUAGGGUUAGGAUUAGGAUUAGGAUAGGGUUAGGGUUAUGAUUAGGUUUAGUUUAGGGUUAGGAUAGGGUUAGUUUAUGGUUAGGUUAGGGUUAGGGUUAGGGUUAGGAUAGGGUUAGGAUUAGGAUUAGGAUAGGAUAGGGUUAGGUUAGGGUUAGGGUUAGGUUUUGUUGAGGGAAAAGUGGUGGCAAAACAGAUAAACUGUU
Long non-coding RNA from Centropristis striata (black sea bass), 347 nucleotides. RefSeq lists it as uncharacterized. The record is from RefSeq and is a predicted model, not a curated record. The transcript is spliced from 3 exons. Lineage: Eukaryota; Metazoa; Chordata; Actinopteri; Perciformes; Serranidae.